This 468-nucleotide ribosomal RNA is filed under the name uncultured bacterium. RNAcentral describes it as "partial 16S ribosomal RNA". It matches the Rfam family "Bacterial small subunit ribosomal RNA", at positions 28 to 507 of the family's 1533-position model. The record is from RNAcentral.
GACGAACGCUGGCGGCGUGCUUAACACAUGCAAGUCGAACGGAAAGGCCCUGCCUUUGUGGGGUGCUCGAGUGGCGAACGGGUGAGUAACACGUGAGUAACCUGCCCUUGACUUUGGGAUAACUUCAGGAAACUGGGGUUAAUACCGGAUAGGAGCUCCUGCUGCAUGGUGGGGGUUGGAAAGUUUCGGCGGUUGGGGAUGGACUCGCGGCUUAUCUGCUUGUUGGUGGGGUAGUGGCUUACCAAGGCUUUGACGGGUAGUCGCCCCGAGAGGGUGACCGGCCACAUGGGGAGUGAGAUACGGCCGGGACUCCUAAGGAAGGCAGCAGUAGGGAAUAUUGCACAAUGGGCGCAAGCCGGGUGCAGCAACGCCGCGUGCGGGAUUAUGGCCUUCGGGUUGUAGACCACUUUCGCCUGUAAGGAUGCGUGAGUGACGGUAAUUGGUAAAGAAGCACCGGCUAACUACGUG